Non-coding RNA from Streptomyces yokosukanensis, 69 nucleotides. It matches the Rfam family "ASpks TB sRNA". Lineage: Bacteria; Bacillati; Actinomycetota; Actinomycetes; Kitasatosporales; Streptomycetaceae. The record is from Rfam.
CUUCAACGAGCCGAGUCGGAGCGGCUCUUCGCGGUCCUGGCCGUAGGUGGCCAGCAGCGCCUGCGCCUC